Molecule: ribosomal RNA, 253 nt
Filed under: uncultured bacterium
Lineage: Bacteria
Also listed under: 1 other name
Description: partial 16S ribosomal RNA
Rfam family: Bacterial small subunit ribosomal RNA
Source: RNAcentral
UACAGAGGUCUCAAGCGUUGUUCGGAUUCAUUGGGCGUAAAGGGUGCGUAGGCGGUGCCGCAAGUCAGAUGUGAAAUCUCGGGGCUUAACCCCGAAACUGCAUUUGAUACUGCGGUGCUCGAGGACUGGAGAGGAGACUGGAAUUCACGGUGUAGCAGUGAAAUGCGUAGAUAUCGUGAGGAAGGCCAGUGGCGAAGGCGAGUCUCUGGACAGUUCCUGACGCUGAGGCACGAAGGCCAGGGGAGCAAACGGG